This is a long non-coding RNA of Lingula anatina, 719 nucleotides long. NCBI's taxonomy places the organism in Eukaryota, Metazoa, Brachiopoda, Lingulata, Lingulida, Lingulidae. The record is from RefSeq and is a predicted model, not a curated record.
AAAUAUGUUCUGGUAUAUUUCAAUUCAUAGAAUUUUACUUGAUUUCUAUUUCAUGGUAAAUAUGUCUGCUGAAGAGAAUUAACUGUGUAUCUAACUUAUCAAGUAUAUUUGUGCAUUAAAUUCUAGGGCUUUGUUACAUGUGUUAUCAUAACACAAACAGUUAAGAGACAGCUUGUAGACAGCUUCAUUAGAAAUUUCUUUCCCAGAAUCAAAGAUUUUACAUCCUAGGCCUGGAUGUUAACCUUGACAUGGACAAUCUUACAGAUAAUAAUAGAAGAGUCACCUGAAAUUGCACAGGCAAAUUCAUCAGAUUCAGAUGUGAGCACCAACUCUGUCUUUCUAUCAUGGAAUUCUGGAUUUCAAAUUGGAUUUCCAUUGGAUUGACAAAUAUUGACAAUUGACAGUUCAGUCACACUAAACUAUAGUGGCAUGUUGCUUCAAGUUACCACACUUUUUCUAAGAUUGCUGAAUUAUCAUUACUGUCUAAGGAGACCCUAGAUCUCUCAACCAGAAGAAGAAACUUGGGGAUCAAUCAGUUAUAAGAUUAAAAUCUCUGGAACACUACCCAUCACUGUUGUGUUCAGUAUAUGGAAAAGAUGACCGUGAUAUUGGAACCUUGGAGAUUCAUAACUUGAUUUCACUCCUGUGAAAAGUAACUGCUUUGUUCUUUUACUGUCCAAUUGAUAAUAUGAAAAUAAAGUACUCCUCCUGUCAUUGUA